This 721-nucleotide long non-coding RNA is filed under the name Mytilus galloprovincialis (Mediterranean mussel). Lineage: Eukaryota; Metazoa; Mollusca; Bivalvia; Mytilida; Mytilidae. The record is from RNAcentral.
AGGUCAUUAAAGAUUGCAUAUUUUGGCUUUAAUAUUGAUUCACUUAUAGGAUCUUUGCAUCGGAACUAAACACAUUUUUUUUUUUUAAAAACAGUUAUUGGCAUGACACGGGUUAUGUUCUUAUCAUAUAUCUUAUAAUAGUAUGAUACUAAACCCCUAACCGGAGGGAUUGUGCCUGAUAUUCAUAUGAUGAAGACAUAAUCUUUCAAUCAGUUUAAUUGAGGUCUGGAGCUGGCAUGUCAGUUAACUGCUAGUAGUCUGUUGUUAUUUGUGUAUUAUUGUCAUUUUAUUUAUUUUCUUUUGUUACAUCUUUUGACAUCGGACUCAGACUUCUCUUAAACUGAAUUUUAAUGUGCGUAUUGUUAUGCGUUUUUACUUUCUACAUUGGCUAGAGGUAUAGGGGGAGGGUUGAGAUCUCAUAAACAUGUUUAACCCCCGCGCAAUUUUGCACCUGUCCCAAGUCAGAAGCCUCUGGCCUUUGUUCGUCUUGUAUGAUUUUUAAUUUUAGUUUCUUGUGUAUAAUUCGGAGUUUAGUAUGACGUCCAUUAUCACUGUACUAGUAUACAUAUUUUAGGGGCCAGCUGAAGGACACCUACGGGUGGGGGAAUUCUCGCUACAUUGAAGACCCAUUGGUGGCCUUCGGCUGUUGUCUGCUCUAUGGUCGGGUUGUUGUCGCUUUGACACAUUCCCCAUUUCCUUUCUCAAUUUUAUGUAAAAGUUU